Molecule: long non-coding RNA, 284 nt
Filed under: Elaeis guineensis (African oil palm)
Lineage: Eukaryota; Viridiplantae; Streptophyta; Magnoliopsida; Arecales; Arecaceae
Description: long non-coding RNA (EGUI_LNC069489)
Source: RNAcentral
UUUUUUUAACUCUUUUGGUUUAUGAAUUCUUUUGUUGGCUGUUUGGACAAGUAUUCUACAUUCCAUGUGGGGAUCAAUAGUGUUUGAUCCCUAUUUAUUUGAGGGAUCUAUCAGUCUUUUAUCCCUCUUAUUCCAUUCUUCACAGUAUGCAUGUUUGCUUGAGAGCGCAGUGUCGGAAGUUUUGUUGCCCAAGUGCUUGGCUAAUGUAUCCAUUUCAUUUUUUUAGUUUUUUUUUAAUGGAACUCAUAAUAGGAAAACAAAUUUAAUUUUGUGAUGGUAAAUGC